RNAcentral lists this ribosomal RNA (471 nucleotides) under uncultured bacterium. RNAcentral's name for it is "bacterial SSU rRNA". It matches the Rfam family "Bacterial small subunit ribosomal RNA", at positions 329 to 793 of the family's 1533-position model. The record is from RNAcentral.
GCUGAGCAUCCUACGGGAGGCAGCAGUGGGGAAUAUUGCACAAUGGGCGCAAGCCUGAUGCAGCCAUGCCGCGUGUAUGAAGAAGGCCUUCGGGUUGUAAAGUACUUUCAGCAGUGAGGAAGGUGGAUAUGUUAAUAGCAUAUUCAUUUGACGUUAGCUGCAGAAGAAGCACCGGCUAACUCCGUGCCAGCAGCCGCGGUAAUACGGAGGGUGCGAGCGUUAAUCGGAAUUACUGGGCGUAAAGCGCAUGCAGGUGGUUUGUUAAGUCAGAUGUGAAAGCCCGGGGCUCAACCUCGGAAUUGCAUUUGAAACUGGCAAACUAGAGUACUGUAGAGGGGGUAGAAUUUCAGGUGUAGCGGUGAAAUGCGUAGAGAUCUGAAGGAAUACCGGUGGCGAAGGCGGCCCCCUGGACAGAUACUGACACUCAGAUGCGAAAGCGUGGGGAGCAAACAGGAUUAGAUACCCUGGUAG